UGCGUAGGCGGCGUCAUAAGUCAGGGGUGAAAGCCCACAGCUCAACUGUGGAAUUGCCUUUGAUACUGUGGUGCUUGAAUCAGGUUGAGGUAGGCGGAAUGUGGCAUGUAGCGGUGAAAUGCUUAGAUAUGCCAUAGAACACCGAUUGCGAAGGCAGCUUACUGGACCUGUAUUGACGCUGAGGCACGAAAGCGUGGGGAGCGAACAGGAUUAGAUACCCUGGUAGUCC
This 229-nucleotide ribosomal RNA is filed under the name uncultured bacterium. RNAcentral describes it as "partial 16S ribosomal RNA". It matches the Rfam family "Bacterial small subunit ribosomal RNA", at positions 568 to 796 of the family's 1533-position model. The record is from RNAcentral.